Molecule: ribosomal RNA, 1372 nt
Filed under: uncultured bacterium
Lineage: Bacteria
Description: bacterial SSU rRNA
Rfam family: Bacterial small subunit ribosomal RNA
Source: RNAcentral
GAUGAACGCUGGCGGCGUGCCUAAUACAUGCAAGUCGAGCGAACGGACGAGAAGCUUGCUUCUCUGAUGUUAGCGGCGGACGGGUGAGUAACACGUGGAUAACCUACCUAUAAGACUGGGAUAACUUCGGGAAACCGGAGCUAAUACCGGAUAAUAUUUUGAACCGCAUGGUUCAAAAGUGAAAGACGGUCUUGCUGUCACUUAUAGAUGGAUCCGCGCUGCAUUAGCUAGUUGGUAAGGUAACGGCUUACCAAGGCAACGAUGCAUAGCCGACCUGAGAGGGUGAUCGGCCACACUGGAACUGAGACACGGUCCAGACUCCUACGGGAGGCAGCAGUAGGGAAUCUUCCGCAAUGGGCGAAAGCCUGACGGAGCAACGCCGCGUGAGUGAUGAAGGUCUUCGGAUCGUAAAACUCUGUUAUCAGGGAAGAACAUAUGUGUAAGUAACUGUGCACAUCUUGACGGUACCUAAUCAGAAAGCCACGGCUAACUACGUGCCAGCAGCCGCGGUAAUACGUAGGUGGCAAGCGUUAUCCGGAAUUAUUGGGCGUGAAGCGCGCGUAGGCGGUUUUUUAAGUCUGAUGUGAAAGCCCACGGCUCAACCGUGGAGGGUCAUUGGAAACUGGAAAACUUGAGUGCAGAAGAGGAAAGUGGAAUUCCAUGUGUAGCGGUGAAAUGCGCAGAGAUAUGGAGGAACACCAGUGGCGAAGGCGACUUUCUGGUCUGUAACUGACGCUGAUGUGCGAAAGCGUGGGGAUCAAACAGGAUUAGAUACCCUGGUAGUCCACGCCGUAAACGAUGAGUGCUAAGUGUUAGGGGGUUUCCGCCCCUUAGUGCUGCAGCUAACGCAUUAAGCACUCCGCCUGGGGAGUACGACCGCAAGGUUGAAACUCAAAGGAAUUGACGGGGACCCGCACAAGCGGUGGAGCAUGUGGUUUAAUUCGAAGCAACGCGAAGAACCUUACCAAAUCUUGACAUCCUUUGACAACUCUAGAGAUAGAGCUUUCCCCUUCGGGGGACAAAGUGACAGGUGGUGCAUGGUUGUCGUCAGCUCGUGUCGUGAGAUGUUGGGUUAAGUCCCGCAACGAGCGCAACCCUUAAGCUUAGUUGCCAUCAUUAAGUUGGGCACUCUAAGUUGACUGCCGGUGACAAACCGGAGGAAGGUGGGGAUGACGUCAAAUCAUCAUGCCCCUUAUGAUUUGGGCUACACACGUGCUACAAUGGACAAUACAAAGGGCAGCGAAACCGCGAGGUCAAGCAAAUCCCAUAAAGUUGUUCUCAGUUCGGAUUGUAGUCUGCAACUCGACUACAUGAAGCUGGAAUCGCUAGUAAUCGUAGAUCAGCAUGCUACGGUGAAUACGUUCCCGGGUCU